Molecule: ribosomal RNA, 274 nt
Filed under: uncultured bacterium
Lineage: Bacteria
Description: partial 16S ribosomal RNA
Rfam family: Bacterial small subunit ribosomal RNA
Source: RNAcentral
AUACGGAGGGUGCAAGCGUUAAUCGGAAUUACUGGGCGUAAAGCGCGUGUAGGCGGUUUGGUAAGUCAGAUGUGAAAGCCCUGGGCUCAACCCGGGAAGUGCAUUUGAAACUGCCUUUCUUGAGUAUGGGAGAGGAGAGUGGAAUUCCCAGUGUAGAGGUGAAAUUCGUAGAUAUUGGGAGGAACACCCGUGGCGAAGGCGACUCUCUGGACCAAUACUGACGCUGAGACGCGAAAGCGUGGGGAGCAAACAGGAUUAGAAACCCCAGUAGUCC